CUCAGCCUCCGGAGCAGCUGGGAUUACAGGCGCCCGCCAUCACGCCCAGGUUCUCCUUCUCUCCUCUAUCCUGCCACUUUGUGAAGAAGGUGCUUGCUUCUCCUUCACCUUCCACCAUGAUUGUAAGUUUCCUGAGGCCUCCCCAGCCAUGUGGAACUAAAAAUAGAAUAUAAAAACUUCUCUACUCCUGACUCACCAACGCACCAGAACAACUUUUAGUCCUGCAAUCAUGAAGCAUUGAUUGAACAUCUUCUACAUAUUAUCACCACCCUAGACACUACAACAACAAAGAAGUCAAUACUAGUUUCAAUUUGUGGAAAGCUGGAAAUGCGAUGAUUCCCAUGCCCUGAGUUUCUGCUCCAGACACCAGGUGGGGGCAUGGCAAUUGUGACUGGAGAGAGUGGAGGGGUCAUCUUAUCCACCACAUCAGAAGCUGAGGUUAGGAUAUUGUGGCAAGAGAUGAAAAGUGAAGUGAUGUGAGGAAACUUCAUCCUGAAUUCAACUAAAGCCCUGGAAUACUUGUUCAAAUAACCAGCUGACAACUUGGGGUUAAGCUGUCUUGAAUUUAACCUGUUUAGCUCAGCCAAUACAAUUAUGAAAUAAAAAGUUAACAGUCUACUAUUUUGUAGUCCCUGGAUAAAGAGGCCUAAAUGGUAUCCUGUAAAGUUAUGCAGAGUACUAUCUGCAUAGAUCUAGUCAAUGACCUUGGCUAGUAGCAUCAUUUGGUUUCCAGCUUUAUGUGCAUCAAUUCUUCUUUAUAUGCAGUAGUUAAUUUAAUGCACCAUAUAUCUUAUCUCUAACUCCUUGGGAAACAUUUGAAUUUAGUUAUUUUCCAUUCUACUAUUGAGAAUCUGUCUUCACAAGUCACAUAGCACUGUUACAAACACAAAUCACUUGGCGUACACAAUCCAAAUUAAGUAUACAUUUUGCCUGUGUUGCUAUUUCAUGGUAAAUUUUAUUUUCCAUUUUCUUAUUUUCAUUUUCUGUCUUUUAUUACCUUCUGAUGACACUGAAAUGCCUAAAGAAGUAGAUAAAUAUCUUGUUCUAACUUUGCUGAUUAAAAAGAAAACAGUUAAGCCUUGUACAUUUCACAGUAAUGAAGAAAGACUCACAAACAUUUUAUCAGGUCUGAAAAUUUGUCACCAGAUGUAUGUGGAAACUGUCUUGGUGAACCUGCCUUCAUGCAAAUUUGAAACAUCUUAUUAAACUUAAAAAUAAA
Long non-coding RNA from Homo sapiens (human), 1219 nucleotides. Ensembl annotates it as long intergenic non-protein coding RNA 2505. Lineage: Eukaryota; Metazoa; Chordata; Mammalia; Primates; Hominidae. The record is from Ensembl.